AAACGCUUGAAGUCAGUCGCGCCGUUCAGGACUCAGCCUUGCUUUGCUUGGUGUACUUCCUGUUUGGUGGGUCAGCAUCAAUUUUGGUCGGUGGAUAAAGGCUUAGAGAAUGUGGCAUCUUCGGGUGUGUUAUAGCUCUGGGUCGCAUACAUCGGCUGGGAUUGAGGAACUCAGCACGCCGCAAGG
This 186-nucleotide ribosomal RNA is filed under the name Mycena citrinomarginata. RNAcentral describes it as "partial large subunit ribosomal RNA". The record is from RNAcentral. Lineage: Eukaryota; Fungi; Basidiomycota; Agaricomycetes; Agaricales; Mycenaceae.